GGAAGUGCUUAAUAAAUGCUCUAUUUUCUUCCUAGAGAAAAGAACAGAAGACGAGUUUAGAGAUUGGAGGAGGAGACCAAGGCUGAGAGAAUCGAUGGAUGCCGGGGACUGAGAAAACCAGUUAAAAUCAGUUCAGGUUGCAUUGCAGGUCCAGAGGCUCUGGCCACCCUUAGUACUUAUUAUUGCAUAAAAUCCACCAUCUUCCAUCUCCAGUGCUUUGUCCCAGCCAAGCCCCCAGCCAGAGUUCGGCUCCUUCCGGACUCCCCUGAAGCUACUCUGCUGGAAGAGGAGAACUCCUGGAAGGAGUCCUGCUAUGCUGAGAGCCCUUAAAACAGGACAAAGAUCAGAGGGAGCAGAAUCAAGACUGACAGCUACAAUAACCUGGUUACAAGGAUGAAUUUGGACUGCCCAGGAUUUCUGAGGGACAAGAAUCCAGAAGUUUUUCUUGGCAACAUGUAAUUGUUUUAAAGUAGCAUUAUCUGGG
RNAcentral lists this long non-coding RNA (484 nucleotides) under Monodelphis domestica (gray short-tailed opossum). RNAcentral describes it as "lncRNA (ENSMODG00000049138.1)". Lineage: Eukaryota; Metazoa; Chordata; Mammalia; Didelphimorphia; Didelphidae. The record is from RNAcentral.